Molecule: ribosomal RNA, 497 nt
Filed under: uncultured bacterium
Lineage: Bacteria
Description: partial 16S ribosomal RNA
Rfam family: Bacterial small subunit ribosomal RNA
Source: RNAcentral
GAUGAACGCUGGCGGCGUGCCUAAUACAUGCAAGUCGAGCGAACAGACGAGGAGCUUGCUCCUCUGACGUUAGCGGCGGACGGGUGAGUAACGCGUGGAUAACCUACCUAUAAGACUGGGAUAACUUCGGGAAACCGGAGCUAAUACCGGAUAAUAUAUUGAACCGCAUGGUUCAAUAGUGAAAGACGGUUUUGCUGUCACUUAUAGAUGGAUCCGCGCCGCAUUAGCUAGUUGGUAAGGUAACGGCUUACCAAGGCGACGAUGCGUAGCCGACCUGAGAGGGUGAUCGGCCACACUGGAACUGAGACACGGCCCAGACUCCUACGGGAGGCAGCAGUAGGGAAUCUUCCGCAAUGGGCGAAAGCCUGACGGAGCAACGCCGCGUGAGUGAUGAAGGUCUUCGGAUCGUAAAACUCUGUUAUUAGGGAAGAACAAAUGUGUAAGUAACUAUGCACGUCUUGACGGUACCUAAUCAGGAAGCCACGGCUAACUACGUG